This 492-nucleotide ribosomal RNA is filed under the name uncultured bacterium. Its description in RNAcentral is "partial 16S ribosomal RNA". It matches the Rfam family "Bacterial small subunit ribosomal RNA", at positions 28 to 507 of the family's 1533-position model. The record is from RNAcentral.
GAUGAACGCUAGCUACAGGCUUAACACAUGCAAGUCGAGGGGCAGCGGUAUCGAAAGCUUGCUUUCGGUAGCCGGCGACCGGCGCACGGGUGAGUAACGCGUAUCGAACCUGCCUCAUACUCGGGAAUAGCCUUGCGAAAGUAAGAUUAAUGCCCGGUGUUUUCAGAGUCCCGCAUGAGGCUUUGAACAAAGAUUUAUCGGUAUGAGAUGGCGAUGCGUCCCAUUAGCUUGUUGGCGGGGUAACGGCCCACCAAGGCAUCGAUGGGUAGGGGUUCUGAGAGGAAGGUCCCCAACAUUGGAACUGAGACACGGUCCAAACUCCUACGGGAGGCAGCAGUGAGGAAUAUUGGUCAAUGGGCGGAAGCCUGAACCAGCCAAGUAGCGUGCAGGAAGACGGCCCUCCGGGUUGUAAACUGCUUUUAGUUGGGAAUAAAACGGGGCUCGUGAGCCCCCUUGCAUGUACCAUCAGAAAAAGGACCGGCUAAUUCCGUG